UUUUUUUUUUUUUUUUUGUCAAUUGUCAUCCCUACUCCUACUCUAUCUACGGGGAGGCUCAACUGAGCCUAUGGGGACCGAUGGGGACAGAACCACCACCGAACCAGACGGGUGCACUACACACCCAUCUGGAUUUGAAGCAGAGCCACAAGAGUGGCAUUUUGGUGGGAGGUAAGGUUUGAACCCUUGCCUCAAACCUUACCUCCCACCCCACCAAAGCCUUAAGGGCUUGGUGGUGGCCACCAGCCCAAGAGCUGGUGGUUGCACCGACAAUUACUUGAGGCUCCUUUUUUUGGGGGAAAAAAAAAAGGGUUUGAAAAUUUAGGACAUGAUGAAAGAGUUCCAUCCUAUCUCUGUUUAGUCUAUCUGCACCGAGUUACGUAUCGCUAUAUGAAUCUGGGCGCAUUAGAGAGCAUGGUUCAAAGUCGCGAUCGCGGCCUAGACCGUUUCAUAUCGGUCUCGACAUAUCGAUCGCGGUCUCGACGAGACGCAAAUUUUUGAAAUAUUUAAUAUUCUAAAAAUAAAAAAUAUGAUAAACAAAAAUAAUUAAAAAAUUAGUAAAAAUAAUAAAAAUUCGAGUUGACUCGGGACUUGGUGAGACUCGACCGUUUCAACCCUUCACAGUAACGUCUCAGCGAGUCACGUAUCUCAGUAUCGUUUCGUCGCAGCCUGACGACUCGGCCGAGUCUUCGAACCAUGUUAGAGAGAAGUUAAUCUUAACCGCAACGACCGACUGUUUCUCAACCUGUAGCACAAAUUUGUAUAUGGAUUGGCCAAUAGUUCCUCAGGUUCUGACAAAUUCAGGAGUGAAUCUUUGAAAUUGGUUCAUAUGGCCCAGUAUUAGUUGCUUUUUGACCAUGUCGAACUACAAAUUACUAAUUUUUAUUUUUAUUUUUCUUUUCCGGGAGGACUAAAGUUUCAAUCCACUAUUAAUCAUCUUGCUUUCUAACGCUUUUCCAGCCAGGAGCUUGAAGAGCAAUGAAUUUCUGUGGUUGUUAUUAUUAUUAUUUAUUAUUUUUUGGAAUAGAGAAUAAAUCAACUUUCAUUCAAGAAACCCAAGUUUUGGCCAUUAGGAAGACACGCAAGUUUUGGCUGGUCCAAUCUUAUUUUAGAGGAGGAGAGUAUUUCCAACAUUUGGUGUAAACCAACGUAAUCAAUACAAAUAUCAAAAUGUUCAAAUUUAUUUUAUUAUUUUAAUAAAAUUUAAAUUAAAUUUAUUUAUUUAUUGAGUCGAAUUCAAAUGAAUUCCUUUUGAAUCGAGUUUAAAUAAUUUAAAAUUUUCAUCUAUAAAUUUUAAUUUUAUAUUAGAUAAAUCAAGUUCGAAUUGAGUUUAAAAAUUUAUCCAACACAAUAUAUGCUAUUCAUUUAACUAAUUCUUGUCGAGCUAAAGGGCGGCUUAAAAAAUAAAGAAAAGGGCAUGGCGCGAAGUUCAAGGACGCUUCCUCAAGCAAAGUCAGCUGUGGCGAGUCGGGAAUGUAGGUGGGUGUCAGACUGUCAGGUCCUCUAUUCCCCGCUUCUUCCCCAGGGUCCCCAUGAUGCUCCCAUACUUGGCCGACCCUCAUCAUCUUCUCUGCCUUCUGGCCUCUCCUUUCUUUUUCAUUUAUUAUUCUCCCUUUGUCCGCCAAAUAUAAUUACCCAACCACCAAUUACUCCCUUGCAACUUCGCUUUCUCUCUCCCUUUGGUUUUUCUUUCUUCUUUCUUCCUCUUUUUACCUUUUCCUCAAGAAACUCACCGAAGUUGCACCCAGCCAUCGCCAAUUCUCAUCUGCAGGCAUUUUUUUUGAAGGGGUGCCUCUGAUUCUGCUCACAUAACAUCAACUUGUAAGUCACAGCUAUGUAUAAAGCAAGCAUGCAUAUAUUCCGACUGUUUGAUUUAAUGUCCUAACCAGAUUUUUAGAAAUCACAAUGGAGGAUAGUUUUAGUAUCUCUUGUUGCAUUUUCCUUCCUGUGGUGUAUUGCUUGUAGUAUUUGUUUUUGUGAAAGAAAGAGCGACAGCUGCUUGUGAAAGGAGAUUGGUUUCUGCUAGUUGCUUGUUGAACUUGCAGUCUUCAUUUUUCACCCUUUAAGAAUUCGUUUAUUUUGUCGUUUUUAGUUGUUUUUUUCACAUCGAGAUCUGGCCUUCUGGUAAUAGAAACCGGGGAAAUUGAUGAAAAAAUGUAGGAAUAGGUUGCUUGAAUUGACGCGGUAUAUGGAUUAUACAACCUAGAGGCUGUUAAAUUGAUUGUCCAAAGAACAACUUGGAGGCUUAUUAUUCUAAAUUUCUAGAGAUUUUUAGUACUUGAGAAAAGAAAACUCUAUUUGAAUCCUUUCUUCCAGAAUUCGUCGUGUAAUUUUAUUUUAGAAGAGGUUGUCCGGUAAAAACUGAUUUUGUAUGUAUGUCUUCUGUUGUAAGUUAUAUAAGUUGCUGGAAACAUGUAGAAAGCCUAGUUGCUUUAUUCAUUGGACGACCUAAUACUAAUUCCUAGCUAAAAUCAUGUUGAACAGAACAGCAUAAAUGAUGACAAGCAUAGCUCCAGGUAACUCCAAGCUGCAUUUUGGGGAGACAUUUUACAGAGGACAAGGUUGCAAACAACCUUACUGGGUGUCCAGUGUAGCUGUCCCAAGAUGCACGCAAAAAGAUCUUUCUUCGUAUGUGUGCAAGCUUCAUGGGUUCUUAGAAAAUCGUGCUUCUAUAUACUCAAAUGCCCUGAAAUUGUGCUCUAUUUGGUCUAAAUUUCGUGCUUCCAUGUCUGUUCAAGGUCAGAUGCAUGCUCUUUAAUUAUAUUUUUCAGGUCAUACGGGGUUUCCAAGGCCUUUUGGAUUAAUGGACUUCAGAAUCUUCAUUUGCAUACCAAUCAGAAGUGGAAGCCACGCAGGACAUCAAUCUCAUCAUCUCUCCGAGAUGGUUCUGCAAAGUACUUUGAUUUUGCUGUAAUUGGCAGCGGAGUUGCUGGCCUGCGAUAUGCUCUUGAAGUUGCAAGACAUGGUACAGUUUCUGUCAUAACGAAGGCUGAGCCCCAUGAGAGCAACACCAACUAUGCACAGGGUGGAGUUAGUGCAGUAUUGUGUCCUUCAGAUUCAGUGGAGAGUCAUAUGCACGACACAAUUGUAGCAGGUGCUUACCUAUGUGAUGAGGAGAUUGUUAAGGUGAGUUUCUUAAAUGGAAAAAUUUCCAGUAAGUGCAAUGUUUGUGGCUAUAUUAGUUGGCUUCUUCAUACGAGUUUAUUAGCCUUUCUGAAUUCAUAAUUUCAGUUUUCAUGAAAAUUUAGUAAUGUACUGUUUUCUUUGCAUACUCUUUCUGAUCAUUGCUUGUUCAAAUGAAACAGUAUAUAAGAAUAAACUCUGAGCUUUAGCUUGCCUUGUCUUUUAUCUUGGAUUGACUAGAUAAAGACUUUGUAUGCUUGUUAAAUUCUUGUUAGGCUCAUGCUUAACUGCACUUUGCAGGUGGUGUGUACAGAAGGACCUGAUAGAAUCAGAGAAUUAAUUGCUAUGGGUGCUUCUUUUGAUCAUGGAGAGGAUGGGAACUUGCAUCUCGCAAGGGAAGGUGGCCACUCUCAUCAUAGAAUUGUUCAUGCUGCUGAUAUGACUGGGAGGGAAAUAGAAAGGGCUCUACUGGAGGCAGUUGACAAGGAUCCUAAUAUUUUUAUGUUUGAACAUCAUUUUGCUGUAGAUUUGUUGACUUCACAGGUUUAUUUCACCUUUUGUUUUCAAGCCUGUUUGUCAAAUUAUAUUUUCACAUUGUAGUAUGUGGAACUGCUUUGUGGGUUGACUUAUAAGUCGAUUAACCUGCAUUGCAUGCAAAGGAAUUUUUUCUGUUCUCAUAAUCUUGGUUCUGACAGUUCAAGUGUCCAGAUAUUGAAUGUUAUAAAAUAAAACAAAUGCUUCAGACGUUUUUUAAUUUGUGUACAAAUACUGGAUUGCAGGAUGGUUCUGACACAAUUUGUUAUGGAGUAGACACUUUUAACACAGCAACACAAGAGGUAGGAAAAUUUAUACUUGUCAAACAUAUGGAUUUUGUGGUAUAACUUUGAACUAUUUUGCUGGAGGUCACUGCUGCUGAUACUUGUGCUUGUCCUACUUUUUGACCUUGUAGGUUGUAAGAUUUAUCUCAACGGUGAUUUUGCUCGCAUCAGGUGGAGCUGGACAUAUCUAUCCAACUACAACUAAUCCUCCGGUACAGUUACAAUUUCUCUUUCUUGGGAUAAUUUUCUUCAACAUCUGCGAAGUUCUCCAGUGAUGUCACUUUUACUGGAUCACUAGAUGUCCUUAGACUUCUCCAGCCGUGCUGCAUAUAUGUAGGGAAACUAUUAUCCUGAAUGGGACAAAAAGAGAACAAGUUGUUCCAGGAGUUCAAAGUUUUUGUGCCUUGAACUUCCCAAGUUUUUGAAUUAUGAUGCUUGUGUACUUCUUUGAGGUUUUAGAGGGGCAUUUAUUGAGGUUUAUUGACUGCGUAGCAUGGAGAUUUUAGUAAAAAAUAUGAAGCUCAAGUUUAGAUUUUCUUAAUCCUCACAUCAUUUUAAACAUGAAUUGAUUGGAUAUUGGUUUAUUCUCACUAGAAGGAAUAUACUGUAAUGCAGAAGUAUUUCAAUGGAAAUAUGCGAAACCUUCUUUAAUUGCUAGAGUACCUAGGGAACACAGAAAUCCAGAUUCUUCUUUAGUUGAAUUAUGUUGACAAGUAGUUCAUCUUCAUGACUUAUACCUUGGGAAGAUAUUAACUAAAGCUAAAAUUGGGUUCUGGGUCUUGGCAAUGUUUAUUAUAAACAAAACUGCAUAGUACUUCUGUUAGGGGAUAUACUCUUUAACUUGUAUGUUAAUUUUUUAGCUGAAUUCUCUAUAAAAUAUGAGACUAUAAGUCUUCAUGUUCUGUUUUCAUGUCUCUCUUCCUUCAGUUAUGUUAUGAUAAACUAAUGUGAUCUGAUUUGGUCCUGCAGGUAGCCACUGGUGAUGGAAUUGCAAUGGCGCAUCGAGCUCAAGCUGUAAUUUCUAAUAUGGAGUGAGUUAUUUGGCCACCUUAAUUAGGCAUGCUUGUUCUAUGUUACAUCAUGACUUUGGUUCAUUAAAAUGAGGUUGUGCUUUGUUUGAAAGUUAGGCUGAAUCUUCCUUUAAAUUUGCCAAAUUAUGUUGUGAUGGUUCCACUCUUAUAAGUAUAGCGAUAUACCAGCUUGACAUAAUCUUGUAGAGCACUCAAGAAUGUAGUUGUGAAAUUCAACUGAGUUUGCAGUUCAGGAGCUUGUGGAAACAGAAAUUACUAUAAACUAGGUUCCCAGAAGCCUUUUGUACCACCUUUACUGGUAUUUGCUGACUGGUCAGAUUGGCUGCUAGCAUUUAGUUACGAGAUUUCUUCAAGUAGUUUCCAGUUUUCUUUUCUCUGCUUGCAAGGCUGCUGACUAAUUUGAUAGCAAGAUGGCAUUAACUUCAUUUUCCUGCAUUUGUCACUAGAUUUGUUCAAUUCCACCCUACUGCCUUGGCUGAUGAAGGCCUUCCCAUUAGACCAACCAAUGCCAGAGAAAAUGCCUUUCUGAUAACUGAAGCCGUCAGAGGAGAUGGAGGCAUUCUAUACAACUUGGGAAUGGAAAGGUUUAUGCCUUUUUAUAUGAUCGUGCAGAGCUUGCCCAAGGGAUGUGGUGGCAAGAAGUAUUGAUGAUCAGCUUAAGAAGCGUAUUGACAGGUAUGUGCUUCUUGAUAUAAGUCACAAACCUAGACAAAAGGUUUUGGCUCACUUCCCCAACAUAGCUGCUGAGUGUCUGCGGCAUGGCUUAGACAUAACAAAACAACCAAUCCCGGUAGUUCCUGCUGCACAUUACAUGUGUGGGUGGAGUUCGUGCCGGCCUUCAGGAGAGACGAAUGUGAGAGUCUCUACGUCGCUGGUGAGGUUGCAUGCACAGGUUUACAUGGAGCAAACCGACUUGCUAGCAACUCAUUGCUCGAGGCACUAGUUUUUGCACGAAGAGCUGUGCAGCCUUCUGUUGAUCAUAUGAAGAGCUCUAAUAUAGACCACAGUGCCUCUGAUGCGUGGCCCAAGCCAGUUAUGCCCAUAGCACUUGGGAGUGCUGUAUUGAACAAUAUAAUCUACAGGACAAGAGAAGUAAGGAAAGAAUUGCAGUCAAUCAUGUGGAAAUAUGUUGGAAUUGUUCGUUCGACGACCAGGCUGAAAACUGCUGAGAAGAAAAUUGGGGAAUUGGAGUUGGAAUGGGAGUCAUUUUAUUUCAGAAUGGUUGGGAACCAACAAUGGUAGGGCUCGAAGCUUGUGAAAUGAGGAACCUCUUUUGUUGUGCCAAGCUGGUGGUGAGUAGUGCUCUAGCUAGGCAAGAAAGUCGUGGACUUCACUACACAGUUGAUUUUCCGUUUGUGGUGGAAAGCGAAAGACUGCCAACAGUCAUCUUUCCUGGUUCCCGGUGAAUGGCACAUGGAGCUCUCGGCAAUUGCACAGACCGCAAGUAUGUUCAACGUAGUGACCCCAAUUUUUCCUGCCAUAUAGUGUGAAUGCAGAAUGCCAUUAGUUCUGCUAGCUACUCCAAAUUUUAAUUCUAGCAAAUGUGAAAAUAUAUAGUACUGAGGCUGGUUUUUUUUUAUUGUUUUUCUUCCACUGAUUUUUUACCUUCAAAUAAGGGGGGAAAAAGGUUUUAUUCCGGUCAAGAGUUGCCCCGGGCACCCUUCUUCCCUGUCGCAAACGCAAACACCUGAGAGAGAGAGAGAGAUAUUUAGUUGUGUAUGGGGUCUGCGUGCUCUCUGUAACUGUACAUUACGCAACUCAUUUAAAGCAAAUUUGGAGGUGUCAGCAAUGGAAACUGCUAUAUUUCCUUCGCGAUACUUAAAUUUCGAGUUAUGUAUCAGAUUGUUGCCGCAUCUAAUUUUUUUUUUUAAACUUGAGCAUUUAUUUAACUUAAUGCCUCCCAAAAUCAAGUGGUAAAAAUUUUUUUUUAUCGCAACAAUAAUAUUUGUAUGUUUAUAGGGGAAGGAGAAGAAGGAAAAUUUAACUGACGAAUUCACUAUAGAAAGAAAUCACUAAAAGUUGCAAGUUACAUGUAGCGGUCGUGGGAGGAAGGUUUAAUCUCCCACCGCCACCAAGACAUCAAGUGGUCAACCAUGAUAUGCCUUUAUGAGGAAAAGUUUAACAGGAUGAAUUAGAGCGAACCAAAAUUGCUGCAUACAAUACAACCCAUUUUUACUGUAGAAAUGGCUGCCAUAGAAACGACCGGAGUGUCGUAAUGGGAGGGUUCUUCUGAGUUCCUGGGACCCCGACAGCAUUGACUUCUGUCCCUCACGAGACAGUCCUACUUGCCUCCCGGUCCAUAAGCGUUCAAAUGACUCCACUUUGUCACCAAUAAUCUCUCUCGACCAAAAUUUACUCUCUGGAACUUUUACCAGUCGUGAUGACCCGGUCCGGGGGUCUACCUUGACAUUUUUUAUAUACUAGUUUCGUUCUUUUCCAAUUAAUGUGGCAUCAUCAUACCAUCGUCUUAAAAACGUUUCACGAGUGCGUGUUCUUUCUUGGGACCGUCGUCCAAUUUUCUGCUUAGUGCUGCUAACAAGCCAACCAUGGAGUUUAGGAAGCUAAUCUUGAUGCUGAAUAUUUUGGGAUUAAUGGCCAAUGGAGAAAUUGGCGGUGCAAGAGAUGUUGAUAGAGUUGACCGGCAAGAGAUAAAAAGUUGCAAGUUCCCAGCAUUAUACAACUUCGGCGACUCAAAUUCUGACACAGGAGGACGGUCUGCGUCCCUGGACAUGGUGGCUCCGCCUAAUGGUGAAACUUUCUUCAAAGCACCUUCAGGCAGGUUCUGUGACGGUCGCCUCAUAAUAGACUUCAUGGGUAAGCACCGAAACUAAUUACUGCCGGUGCUUGUUUGCUCAUUUUCUGUACGAGUUUGUUGUAUGUACAAACACAUAGCAAUAAUCAAGGCUAGAGAAAAAGAACUGCGCAACACUUGGAAGUUUCAAGAUGGAACGCUAACGUGAUUUCACUUCAGCAUAUAGAUUGUGCGCUAAUAUUCUUCAAAAUUCGCAGCCGAAGAAUUGGGCUUGCCAUACUUGAGUGCAUAUCUCGACUCGAUUGGUUCAAAUUUUCGACACGGUGCAAAUUUUGCAACGGGAGGCUCAUCCAUCCGUCCUGGUGGCUAUAGCCCGUUUCACCUGCAACUCCAAAUCGGUCAAUUUUUACAGUUCAAAUCUCGAACCACUUUGCUCUAUAAGCAACUCAGUGACAACAGUGAGUACCAAUUACUAGUAGUAUUACAGAAUACGACUAUCAAGUACGAAUGCAAGCCCUUUUGCUGAUAUAGAUGCAAGUGCAACACGUAUAACUCUUUUCACUGCUUGAUCAGAUCAUUCAGCAAAAAGCCCACCUCUCCAGAGCAGACUUCCUAGGCCCCAAGAUUUCUCAGAUGCCCUAUACACAUUUGACAUCGGACAGAAUGACCUUGCCUAUGUUUUGAACAUACCUCAGAAGCAGAAACCCGAGAAUCUAUCCCCAGUAUGCUAGACAAGCUUGGCGAAGCAAUUCAUGUAAGUUUACUCUGAUUGCAGAGUUUUUUCUUGUGGUUUUUGACCCUCAUCUCAUCCAAUCUAUAAUUCAGCAACUUUACAAGGCAGGGCAAGAAACUUUUGGGUGCAUAAUACAGGCCCAAUUGGUUGCUUGCCCUAUAGUGUCAUAUACUAUUUGCCCAAGCCUCGCAAUUUGGACGGGAAAGGGUGCGUAGAGCCUCAGAACAAGGUAGCUCAGGAGUUCAAUGAGCAGCUGAGGAGAAAGGUUCUCCAGCUCAGGCCAACUUCCAGCAGCAGCAUUAACAUACGUGGACAUGUACUCUGCUAAAUACUCGCUAAUCAGCAAUGCGAAAAAUUAGGUGCCGUUCCUAAAAUCCCACUCUUUCUUGCUGAUACUGAACUUGCCUGAGGAGCUCAUUUUGUGAUGUGAUGCGUCUCCUCGCCUGUUUUACGUGUCUGUUUGUGCGACAUUGCAGGUUUUGAGGAUCCUUCGCAAUUCUGCUGUGGCAGUUAUUACGGUUAUCACAUUGGUUGUGGAGAGAAAGCAAUAGUAAAUGGAACUGUACGGUAAUCCCUGUCCUAAUCCAUCUGAGCAUAUUAGCUGGGAUGGCAUACAUUACUCUGAGGCUGCCAACGCUCUGCUUGCGAAAACUGUUCUUGAUGGCUCUCUAGCGGACCCGAAAGUUUCAGUUGGAGAGGCUUGCCACAGUUCCAUGACAUAAAUAAUUAAAUAAUUUUCGAAAUUACCAUUCAGGUUGUAUGCAUCACAGACAGUUGAACAGGAGUGAUCAACAAGGUUUCUUGAUUCCUGAUAGAGGAAAUGGCGUAGGAGUGAAAAAUGGAAGUUGGACCCAUGAAAUAAGUAGUUCGAUGUCCAUUUCAGAUGUUUACAGCAUAUAUAUAUAUAUGAAAGAGAAAUCUUUUGAAGAGACUGGGGACGAUAGGAGCCCUCGAUCCUCCUUUGCGUUUAGGUAAUGUUUCCAUAUUACGGCCCUGUAUGUUGGUCUUCUAAUAAAUCUUGGUUACAAGAUUGGCUUCUUCAACAAAAAGAUUUCUCCUUUGUUUUUUAUGGUUUGAUUGGCAGAUGAAAGAUUUAACCAUCGUGCUAUUUAAAAGGUCCUCCAGGCCAUUUGUUUGUUUUUUUUCAUUUUCUUUUAAUUGUGGGCAGAGUCGUUAAUGGCUAAAUUGUUCUGCCAAACUUCUGCUGCAAAUAUCCACUGCGUCUUCAUUUGAAGACAGCAAAUAGUAGCUAGUAACUGGGUAUCUGAAGGUAUUGCUGCAAUCAACAUCACAGGAAUGGGGUAGUUUGGUACAGCAGAAGAGGAAAAUGAAAUCCCACCAUUAGUUUAUUUAACAAAAAGCUACACGAAAGAAAGAAACUUAAUUACAAAGGAGAAUCUCAACAACUGCUCAAAAAAUGAAUACUAGUACAAAGCAACGUUUACAUUCCACUUCCCCAAUUUUCCAUCACUGUCAUUUUAUCUUAUUCCUUAAAUUUUUCUUCUCAAAUUUACACAAACUGACUAAAAAGAAGAAAAGCAUUCCAAGACCUAUUUAUCUUCUCCCUCCCCUCUUCUUAACCCAAAAAAAAAAAAAGAAAAAAGAAAAAAACGCUUCUCUUCUCUUUACCCUCCAAGAAAGACUUCACAUCAAAACACAGGAAUACACACACAACCAAAAUGGCGAGCUCACAAUACCGUAAUCUCGGGUUUUGUAAUAAUGCUGCCGUGUUUAUCAAGGAGGGUUUCCAGCGACCUUGAUUCCUUGUUCCUCACUUUCCCUGCCUCUCUCAAUAACUCGGCCAGCCUCCGCUUCUCAUCAAUUACAUCUGGAUUUGCUGUCCCAAGCCUCUCCUCUCUCAACCCAACUACAUACUCCAAGAUCUCAAUUGCAUCAACGGUCCUGCCACAAUAAUUCAAGAACCGGUUGAAGGGAAGUAAUUCCAGGCUCAAAUUCUGGGAAAAACAAAAAUUGAAAGGAAAAACAGAAAGGCAUUUCUCUUGUACGGACAAUGAUGUGCUGAAAUAAAAGCAGGAUGGAUAACGUGUUAAUAGCCAGCAAAAAAGUUGCAAUGUUGGAACGUACCUGCCCAUGGCAUCAUAAGUACCCGCAAGAUUGCUGUAGACCCCCAAUGUGUCAGCAUGAUACGGCCCGCAUUCAGCCUCCAAGAUGCUCCUUGCUUCUUCAAACAAUUCUGCAGCUUCAUUUAUUGCAUAGAGUUGCACGCAUGCAAGUCCCAUUUGGUUCAGAGCCACACCAAAAAGUGCAUUUUUCUUCUCUCCAACAGCACGAAAUUUGGUAAUUGCGUUCUUUAAGGAGUUGUAAGAGUCAGAAUAACUCCCCAGGAUAUAGUACAAAACCCCUAUCUGGGCUUCAAUACCCGCAAUUGUGCUUUGUUGGCCUGGUGCAUUCCCGUACACUUUGAUGGCCGUUUGGAGUAACUAAGUGCCUGGUCAGUUUCACUCAUGGAUUCAUAAAUAGCAGAAACAUCAACCAGGCCACUCGCAAUUUCUUCAGGGGAGAACCAGGGAUUGGCUUAUUGAAAAUACGCAAUGCAUUUUCACAAUAAGAUCUGCAUUCGCUGAAUUUUCCUAUCUUAUUGUGCAAAUCAGCCAACGGACGUAGACCGAAGCAACUGAUGGAUGGUUAUCUCCUUUGGUUGACUUGAAAAUAGUUAGAGCUUUCUGAUAAGAAAAAAUGGCCUCAUCAUACCGCACCAGCGACAAAUAUGCAUCACCAAUGUUGCAGUCUAUGGCAGCUACAUCUGCUUCCUGGCCAUUUGCAGCCAUGGCCAUGCUUGCUAAAACGUAAUGCUCAAGAGCAGCUUCGUGAUCCCUCUUGGAGUCACAAAUAAGGCCUAAAAGUCUCCUAUCAGCUGCUUCUUCAGGAGAAGCAGGUGAGAUGCUCUCCCUAUGGAUUUCCAGGGCCAUCUGACAAAGCUUCUCAGCCUCAUCAAAUUGCAUAGCUUGAACAUGGGCUUCAGCUACAUACCUGCAAGUCUCACCAAAUCUAGGAUCUUUAUCGCCAAGAACCUGUCUCUGGAUCUCCAAACCUGCAGCGUAGAAAAGAAUUGAGUUCUCAAUCUGGCCCGUCAUUGCAUAUGUAUCACCGAGUUGCAUGCAUCCUGCGAAUUUGGCAAGCGAGUGGUUUUGGCCCAAGUCCAUGACGGGUAUUUCAAUUGACUUCUCAAGGAGAGGAACUGCAUCACUGUAUCUGCCUAAUCUGCAGUACAGUGCUGCAACAACAUGCAAGCACAUCACGAAUUCCAAAUUAGGCUUUCCACUCGCAGAUGUCUCCAACAGAUUCAUGGCUCGUAAAGCCAAUUCAAGAGCUUUAUGAAGAUUAUCCCCGGAUGCAAUCAAAUCCCUGGCCUGUUUAAGUACAUAUGGCCCAAGGUAUGCUGCCUCAGAUGAAUCCUCAGCUCCGUUCUGCUUUUUGACUCCAGCUAAAGGGGAAUUCCUUUCAAUCUUGGCUGGGACAUUGCGUUUGGCUUCUUUGAACUCUUCAAACUACGUCUGCCAGUGCCAGCACGAGGGAUGCCAUUAAAAGAUUUGCUCUUUAAGCCUGCUUUCUUAGGUGUGUCGGAGUUUUUGGCUUGUCCUGAAGAAAAGGGCUGGUCAGUUGUGUCAUCUUUAAAUCCUUUGAGUUCCUCAGAACUAUUUUCCCCUGCUUCGUUCUUCUCUUUUGUGAUCUCCGCCUCUCCAUAAUCUCCUCCAGCAAGAUACCUCAAUUCGGAAUCGAUUCUUGAUUCCUCGCCAUAUGAUAAAUAGCUGAGCCUUGAUGGCGAUUGGUCGGAGCUCUGCAUCUCGCAGACAUUAUUAUAAAGUUCCUCAAUGGAUGUGUCAACAGCUCCUUCUAUGGCUAGAUCAAUAGAGUCAGUCUCGGGACUGUGAGUACUCAAUGGACUUCUGGGAGACGUCUGCGCGAAAAUUUCUUUAUGGGUACGUAGGGUCCCGUGAAUUCUCUGGAACUUACUUCCUCCAUGACGAAAUGAAUCAUCAAAACACCAGAAAAGUCCCGCUCGUACAGCUUCCUUCUACAAAAAAAAAAAAAAAGAAGGCACGAGAGCAGCGAUCAUCAUUAACAGAAAAAAGGUUGACGUCACGGGAUAAAAACAUUUGCACUGGCACAUGUAAGAUUAAUAUAAUAAGAUGCAUUGGUCAUUCGGCGAGAUCCAAUUCCAAUUACAAUCCAGGCGCUGGAAUGCAUUAAACAGAAAGCUUUUGGUUUUUUAAGGUAUUCCUGAGAACCAGAGCAACCGAUUUUAAAGUAUCAUUACAAUUUCGAUCAUUAAAAGAUCAACACAUUUGGAAUGGAAUAAUAGAACAUUUCCUCCCGCAAAGUAUCCCACGACGAGAAGCUAGACAAAAACUAUCUCAUUUAACGUACAAAAUAUGAAGCACAAGCAGUCAUCACAUUUGAUCGCAAGUGCAAAAAAAAAAAAAAAAAAACCGGAUUCGGAAAUCAUUAAUGAUUGAGAGCUGAAAAUUAAAGAGAGGAGAUAACGAGAAUGAGCACCUUAUUAUCAGCCCACCAAGAAAGCAACACAGAGGCGAACGCUUUGUCCUAAGUUUUCCUCUUUUCAGGGCACACGCAGCAACAAAGAGAAUGGUCACAGAUGCUUAUAUGGUCUCCUUUAUGUUUUUUGGCUUCCGUUUUAAUGAUUUAUAUAUGUAUACAUAUAUAUAGCAUAUAUAAGUUGAUGGGCAGAGGAGGUGAAGGGACGAAGAGAGGUGGUUGAAGGAGGGAACAGAGGGCAGAAUUGAGAAUAGAAUAUCAAGUAAAUGUGUAAACUUUAUUGUUCAUAAUUAAGAAAUCAGUAAAUGGAACGGAAAAUCCAGAAAAAUUUCAGAUAAGGGAGAAAUUGUAUAAAUAAAUACUAUAUAAGAUGAAUGGGUGGGGUUGCAGAGAGGUUGGAACGUAGAAGCAUGAAGGAGACCUGUCAUCUGCCACCAAUGUCACACCGGUUACCAACGCAAAACAGCGAAAAUAUACACCCCGCCCGCCGAUCUUGUUUCUACUAGUAUAUGUUUUUGUUGCUUUCACACACACACACACACACUCGCUCUCUGUGUGUGUGUGUUUUUUUUCCCCGCUAUCUUUAAUUUAGUGUAUUUGUUUUCCGCUGCGAAGGAAUUUGCGAUUCUAGCUUGGCGCGAUUAACGGCUUUUCAAGGCGAUGAGUUUGAAGUUAUUCCAGUGACAGAGCGGUGAUUGGAGGAGUGCAUAAGGAGCUGCCACGUAUCCGCUUUGAUAACGUGGCGUCCAAUUAUUAGAUGCUUUAGCAUUGCAACUGAUGAAUCUCGUGUUAGGCAAUCAAUGCCUGCGAUGGCACGGACUCUCGGGGGGAUUUGGUUCGAGCUUUCUAUAAUGAUGAUGAUUAGGACGGCGUAGUUUUGAAGGUUAGUUAGGGCUGCACAAGUAGAGGAUGAGCUGCAUGGAAAGCCAGCUUUUGGAAUUUGGGGACCAUACCAUACAUAGUAAGUUGAUGAUGGGAUUUAAAAACGGGGAAGGAGAAUGGGUACUGCAUUUUGUAACUGGAACAAUGAACUAGGAUGAAAGUCAAGACUACUAGAUGAUUUUUUGCUCUUUUCUGAAGUCGUGACUAGAUACCAGAUAAUAAUAAUGCCAUCGCCCUUGUUUGUUUCUUGUUUGAUAAUGGAAAUGCAAAUUGAUCUCCGGGUACUUCAAAAAGCUUGUAAUGGAUAUUUCUCUGCGUUUCAUGCAUACGUUCAAUUGCACAGAGUUGAUGGGUGAAUUCUGCUUUUUGGCAAACACAAGUUUCAAAUGGCAAAUGAUAUAGAGCAUAAUUUACCUAUCCGAUACUGCAAUUUGUGCAUGGUUUAAAAGAAACUGUGGGCCUAGAGCACAAAUCGACAGAUCAAUUUCAUCUCGAUUAAUAAUUUCUGACUUCGUAAUUAGAUUGAGCUUGAAUUGAUGAAUAUAAUUAAUGAUGAGAUAUGCAAUAGGAUAAAAUAGGUUUAUCUAGCGAAUGUCUAUUGCACAGUUAAGUUAAGGUGCGUCUGAUAAAAUUGAAAUUUGAAAUCUGAAUUUAUUAAGGUAUUGAAUUGUUGAGUACUAAAUUUGAUACAUUUGACUGACUGUGUAUUUACAUUAAGUGAUAAGUUAUUCACUUAUCACUUACUUUUGGAAACAAAUUUUGUCUAAAAAAAUUCAGUGCCAUUUAAUUAAUUCAGAUGUUCAAUUUUUAAUCAUCAAUCUGAACAUGAUGUUCAGAUUUAAAUCCAUUAAACUUAAGUGUUAAAUUGAAUCAUCAAAGGGCCUUAAUAAGAGAAAGAAGAAGAGUUUCACAUCACAUGCUAUAUAUAUAUAGCAUUUUCUGAAGACAACGGGAAUGAAACAAAAGUUAAAGCUUGGCACUCCUAAAACACAGAAGUCAAGACGGAAGAUUUAUAGAAGGUGAUGUUGGACUGACCUCAUCAGCGGUCUUAUGGGAUUCACGGGACACGUGAAAUUUCCACUGAACACGAGGAGGAGGAGGUUGGCGGCUGCUGGCCUUAGUUUCUUCUUCUUGGCAAGAAAAACAAAAACAAAUUGAUGAAGGCGACCUUUCACAUGCCGACUAAACAUAAGAAACGACUAAUAUAAGCUUUCUUUUCUGUAUUGCAAGUAAAAUAUCCUUCUUGUUUCUUAAACAACAAGCCACAAAGCCAGUUCAAGUUCAAGUUUACCGAAACACUCAAAUUGAAUUGACACAAUUCCUGUAAGCAGCUUCCUGUUUGUUUACGGCGAGAGCAACUCGUUUUCAUCCGUCACGUUCAGCUGGUAAAAAUUUAUUCGCCUCCAUAUGACGUCCUUUAUGGCGGUUGAUCGACGCCAGCCCAGCUGCAUUAUAAGGAACACGUUGAAAUGUCACGUUUAUUUAAAACACUAGGCCGUCUCUAGGACUAAUACUUUCGGCGAAAUGUAUCGGCGGAGCCUGUUUACCGGCGAAAUGUCACUGCACCAAAUCGAAACCAUCAUUUCACACAUGUAUCCUACUAUUUUGCUCGGAGAUUCUUCUAAUGCUUUGGUUGGGGGGAGUAAUACUACUUUUAUUUUAAUUAAAAUUUGAUAUUUAUUACCAACUUUCAGACCCUCUUAAUUACUUAAUGCAGCAGAACACGAUGAAGGUAAGUCCAAACAAAGAAAGGAAAAAAAAAAAAAAAAGACUCAAUUUCCUAAUGUUAGGACAAGGGUAAUUUUGAUUUCGACUGCUAGUAAUUAGUAAUGGUCAAACAUAAUUUUUGACUGAUAGAAGGUUUUUUUUUGGGGAGUGAUCAAAAAUAAAAGCUAGGGGACAAAAUAGUUUUGGAACCAAAUGUUAAGUGGUUUUACUGCCAUUUAUAAGGCCUUUAUAAAAUACUACCCUUUUUUUAAAAAAAAAAAUUGAUAUUUAUAAAAUACUUAACAAUUUUUAGACAUUGGUAAUUACUUGAUACAGGCAUAACAAGAGAAAAAAAAUCCAUUUUGCAAAAGGUAUGUUAUUUAUUGAUUUAUAAAAGUAUUUUGUUGAUGACGGAUAAAGCAGAAUACAGCACAUGCAUGGAAUAGUAUCUUGAACUCUUUUGUCUCACUUGAAAAUUUUUGGAGAUAUCCUCCAUGCAAAAUGAUUAAAUAAGGUUGAACGAAGCAACCAUGCAAAAAAAUAAUUAAAAUGAGAACUCAUUGGACAGUACGUACAAUAUACUAGAGGAUGGUAUGUAUCUACUUUUUUUUUUGCUGUUUUAGUUGGAGUCCAAGAGAUUGAUUAAGAUCAAUUAGUGGGAGAAUUAAUCAUCUUUACAUUAAAAAGAAAAAGAAAAAGUUGUACCAUUAUUAUAUCAAAACCGCAGCAUAUAUAUUCUGAAGGUACAGCGACCUGACCUGCUCGGUUGUCAAGGUUCCUUGCAUUCUGUGUUUUAGGUAAAGUGCGAACUAUUAGGCAGCAGAAGAAACUUGUACUAAUUUGCAGAGUUAAGAGUAGUAGUAAUACUCUAUUAGGAUUCGUAUUAGUGAUUAGUUGAUCAUCAUCCAUAAAGUUGUUGCCAUGGCUUCCCCAUUAAUUAUGCAACCAGUCAAUUGAUUAUAUUGAAUAAAAGAGUUGGUGGUUAUGGGAACAAAUCAUUAUCGGCAUCAAAAGCUCCAAACGAUUAUAGAAAAUGUCAACUGAUUGCAACGAGACUGAAAAGUACUAAUGUAUAUGCGAUGACCAGAAAUUAGUGCAAGCUUAAAAAGAUGUGUUUGAUAAUCCAAUUCAUUAGUUAAAUUUAAUGGAUUCGUACCUUAACAUCAGACACGUUUGAUAAUUAAAAAUUGAACAUCUGAAUUAAUUAAGUGGCAUUUUGAUUUUCUAGGCAAAAAUUAUGUGAUAAACUAUUCACUCAUCACUUAAUGUGAUACAUAUUUAGUUAUACCGUAUUUAGUAAAUAAUACACACGUACACACACACUUGUGGUGUGGUAAGUGAAGGGUAAAGUGCCUUAUAGUUUUCUGUACUUUUUUUUUUUUUUUUUUAACUUUGUGCCCUUUUGGGAUUUUAAGUUGUUCGUUUCAUACUACAGGGAAAUCCCACCUUCGUUUAUCCGCCAGAUUAGGUGAAUGAUAUACUAGGAGUGAGCUAUCUAAUGGGCUCAUGAUGGAAGCCUUCCAACCAACAAACCAGAUGCUACAACCUUCCAAACUCUCGAAAGAGUUCUAAAACCUCCACGUAACCACGCUGAUUGAACUGUUAGGAAAUGAUUAAGUGUGUACGUUUUAAUCCAACCAUGAUAUUUCCCCCCCCCCCCCCCCCCAAAAAAAGGCAAAAGAAGAGAAAAUUCGGGGGAUGGUGGUAGCUUAGGCGCGUGUAGGGAGGAUAACAAUUUGGGCGGAUGAAACCUUAACUAUCAGAGAAUGUGUCAAUUGACUUUGACAUUUAAACAAAAUGUAGCUCUCAUGUUUCUACCCAAAAAAAAAAAAAAAGAAUGUGUCAAUUUAAUCAGUCGAGUCCUUUUUCUUUUCUUUUUUCUUUAAAAAUAAAAAAAAGUCAAUUUUCUUUCUUUCUUUUUAGUCCAGUCCCGUCAAUUUUACAUUUUGUUCUCACAUAAAAAGCUCGAAAAUUAAGUACUUAUCUUUUACAAAAGCUAAAAGUUUUAUUUUUCUUUUAGAAAAAUCGUUCAAAAAGUCUCUCACAUUUUGUAAAAUGACUUUGUUCUCCCCUCACUUUUGAAAGUGUAAUUUUAUGUCCCGUACAAAUUCACUUUGGUCAAUUUUGGUCUCUACCUAGAUUAUCAACUAGUUUUUUUGUUGGAAUCCACCACGUGUCUUGCAUGUGAUCAUUUUUUAAGGGCAAAAUUAGUCAGAAACCUAGAUAGGGACCAAAUUUGACUAAUAUAAAAUUGUAAGGGAUUUAAAAUUAUACUUUUAAAAGUGAGAGACAAAAAAAAUUAUUUUGUAAAAUGUGAGGGAUAUUUUGCACGAUUCUCCCUUUUCUUUUACCCAAUAUGGAAGUUUAUUUAAGCCCAGCCCGAGAAGAUAUUGGACGAGUAACACUGGGCAAUCUACAGGAGUCAGUCUGCGUUGGUUUCGAGUGCGUACGAGCCCAUUGAUUGUUAUAAGAACGCUUAUGACCUACCAAUAAAACACGAUAUCGAGGCCUGUUUCCUAGCCAUCCAUUGUAUGACUAGAUUCGGAUCUGCAUUAUUGAGGUUUCACACACACCAGAUUCAUUAAAUUUAUAAAUAUCUUAGGAUCCAGAGGAUAUAUCAUGUAGUUGAUGCAAAGCUGAAUGCAAAAUAUGAAGUUGGCAAAAAUCAUUUUGUCACUCGAUGAAAAAGGAAGUUCAAAAUUUUUCAACAUAUUAUCUCAGAUAGAAUGAUUAAUACUCCCAUUGGAGCAAAUUAAUGUUCAUCAGAAUACUCUGAUCUUCUUCUUUUUUUUUUUAAAAAAAGAAAUGAUAUUAGUAUUCCUCAAAAAAAAAAAAAAUUCCCAGGCACUGCAAAAAAGUUCUGCUAAAAGAAAGUUAAAUAAUACUCCCUCCGUUCCACUUUGAUAGUCCUGAUUUUUUUUUCACACAGUUUAAGAAAAAUAGUUAACUUUGUUGGAACAAUCAAUUUAGGUAGCUAUUUUCCUAAAAUAUUCUCACAUUAAUUAGAGUACAACUUUAUAGGAACUUGAAUUGAUAGUAAAAAAAGAAUCAACUCUCAUUAAAUGGGGUAGGUUUAUAGUAACAACAACUUACAUUGAAUAAGGGUAUUUUAGGAAAAUUAAAAUACAACUACAUUCCUCAAUUGGAAAGUGGACUACAAUUUGGGACAGACGAAAAAGGAAAACAGGACUAUCAAAGUAGGACGGAGGGAGUAUAUUUAAAAAAAAGGAAAUAAGCAAGUAAUUUGAUGAUAUACAAUAAACUGAUCAAAAAUUUUUCCUGUAUCCUGAGAGCCAAGCAGCAAAAGUAAUUAACUAUAUAGUACUUCUAAUAAUGAGCAUGUAGUAGUAGUAGUAGUCUUUAAAGUAAUUUCUCCUGGUUUCUCUUCUCGCGAUCAAGCCAAGUUGAAUUGUGGAAGUGAACGGUCCUCUGACUCAAGUGAAAAAAAAGAUAAAGCGUUCCUCUGCUGGCAUUAUUUGGAAAUCUUUUCCAUCAUCGGUCGGUUCGAUCUCGAGAGCAUCUUCCCGUUUUCGAAAAAGUUUUUGACCUUUACAAGCUUCCAUUUGACUUCAACUCCCGAGUUGCUAUCGUUAAAUAAAAAGGAACAUAGUCAAAACCUUGAUCUAGAGAUAGAUAUGAUACACCUGGGAGCAUGCGACUACUUUUGAUGAAAGUCGCUUUUUUUUUUAAUUUUAUAAAUAUAUUUUUCAAUUAUUAUAAAAUCAAAAAAUAUUAUAAUAUUUUUUAAAAUAAAUUAUCAUUUUAAAUAAUCUUCUAUCUAAACAAACCAAUUAUUAUCUCCAUCGUUUGAUUUUGUUAACCACCACACCCAAUUAGCAAGGUAGCACAAACUUUACUGUCUCGUGUCAUGCAUACUCUAGAGAGAUCAUAGCCCAUUUGACUUUUGUUGAGUUUGACGUGGUCCAGGGAUCCCGCAGAACCUCCUAGAUCAUGAUCCGAUGCACACACACAAAAGUUUAAGAAACUAGAAAGAACCUCGUGUGUUGGAACCUAGAACACAAGCUAAUGUUCAACCACUUGGGGAAUCAGCAACGUUGGCAUCCCCAAAACCAGAAGCUUGCGACUCCUACCUACUUCUUUUUCUUGGUCCUGUGACCCAAACACGCCCCCAUAAAAGAAGGAAAAAAAAAAAAAAAGAAGAAGAGAAACUGAAAAGACGGUGAUAUGGACCGGUCCUGAAUUGUGCUAAUAAUAGUACUAUCGAUCAACAUCGAUGGGCAUAAAAAUGGCCAGACAAAAAUUGCAUGAUUCCACAUAUGUCAAUUCGCUCGUGCAGGUGCAUAUUUUAUCUUUCCUUUGCCAACUUUUUUGACCACCUUGAGGGUUGACGAAUCCUAUGCUUCUUUUCUUCCUGAGGGUUGCCAACUUUUUUUUUUUUCGAAAACGAUAACUGUUGUACAAGUCGGAGAGGGUGGACCAAAAUUUAUUCUACAUUAAGAGGAGAGGGCGGACGUAAGAAGGCCCAGGGAUAACUCGGAGGGGAUUGAAUCACCACCGGACCAAACAGGUGCACUACACAUACCGCCUGAAUUUUUUGAAGCCAAGCCACUUUAAAUGUGGCAUUUGGUGGGAGGCAAAGAUUCCCCACCAAACCUUAAUGGCUGGGUGGUAGCCACCAGUCCAAAGACCGGUUGUUCUAUACUUCUUUUCACUCCUUGUCAUUUUGGUAUGCUUCUUGGCCCUUUGCGUCGUGAGUUGAAAGUUGAAAUGAAGCUCAGUGCAGUAGAAUGUAGAAACUCCGGAAGAAGCAUCAUAUUGGAUUGGUAGAGAGGUUGAGCAAGGCAUUUAUUAUUUUACGGAUAAUUUCAGAAACUUCCCCUGAGAUCUUUGACAGUCUCACUGUCCUCCCUUGAGGUUUUUAAAAUAUGGGAAACCUCUCCUAAAACUUAUUAGCUAGUAACAAAUCAGACCAAUUCGAAUACAAAAAUAAUAUAAAAUUGACAUUACGAGAGAGAAAAUAAUUUGAUUACAUACCUACUUUCAAGUUUUGCAUUAGGUUGUUAAUUUACUACGAAUAAUAUAUAUCUAUUUUAACUUUAUCAAUUGUGAGGAGGUGUAACUAUUAUUGCAUUCAUAAGGUGUAAAUAAGAGAUCAACUUUUUAACUCUACAACAAAUUUACCAAUGCAAAGUCUUAUCUACAUAUUACAAGUGUAAUAUCACACUAUUACAUCUAUUAUAACACAUCAGUUGCAUAAUCCACUACAAGAGAAACAAAGCAUGUAAAUCUUGUUACAGAAUAUUUCAAUUUAAAAAAGAUCAUUUGUUGAAUAAUCACAAAUAAGAAAAAAAUUAUCAUCAGCAAAAGGUUUUUCAAUUCAGUAGUAUACAACCAACAAUCUUUACCAAUAUUUCAUACAACAACAACACCUAUUUUCUAUGGCAAUAAAAGUAACAAUUAGGAUAAAAAAAGAAAAAAAACUAUAAUUGAAUACUAAUCAUCAAAUGGAGCGAAUCAUAUAGAACAUAAUACAAACUACAUAAUGUCAUAUUUUUCAUUUUUUUGUUUGAUCCAAGCUAUUCAUUUUCACUUGUAGGGUCACUGUUAAGCAUGACCAUCAAGAAUUACCUUAACAUCUGCAAUCAAAUAAUAAAAAUUUCCAAAAUUUAAGAGCAGAAAAAUCUUAGAAGUUGACCUUGAGAUUUUCACAAUCACCAAAAAUUUGAGAAAAGUUUGAGAGCAAAUUUUUUCUUCAAGUCUCCUAAAUCCUUAGGUAUGCCUAAAGAAGCUCUAUUUCUCUUAUUUCACAAAAAUCACUAAAGUUUGAAUCAUUAUUUCUACUCACACAUAUCAAUUAUCAAUCAUAAAAAGAUGCCUAUAUUUGGCCCCCUCCCUUUUGUAAUGGCAUAUUAGAAAUUUUUUUAAAAAACUUAUAAAUUGUCAUUAUUUAUGUUAAACCUAAUUAAUGACAAUUUAACUAAUCAUGUGAACAUAAUUGCAAAAUAUCUCUUAAGUUGUGUGAGUAAUUAAGUCAUUUCUCCAUGAUUGAUGUAACAAUUGGACCCCAAUGACCUCACAGGAGAGGUUUCUAAAACAGGAGAGGAUUGUGAGACUGUCAAAAACUUAAAGGAAGAUUUCUGAAAUUAUCCCAUUAUUUUAUCGUGCUCUUCGGUUUCAUGUACGUAUAUUCCUGUAAUCAUCCAUUGCCUUGACUAUUUAGUAGUAACUGUAUCCUUCGGAUAUUCAUGAUUUGACGAUAGGUUUUAGUCUAAUGAUUAAUAUUAAAAUUUUAAAAUUAAAGAUUCUAGAUUCAGAUCCCUGUUAAUCCUUCGGCGCCUAAGUUUUACCUUUCUUCUGUUAAAAGAUAAUUGAAAAAUAUUAUGAUUCAUUAUCAAUAUUGACGUCUCUCUCGUCUCUCUCGUGUUAGAAAAUCUUCAAAAUAAGAAAUGGUGAAUGCUUUUGGGACUUUGAGCAAUACAUAUACUACUGUUUAGUACACACGUCUAUUGGUAAAAGUCUUGAAUGACUGAAUGGAUACGUCUCAGGUAUAAAUGACUUUUUAAAUAGCGAUCUUGUAAAUUAUAGAAAGGGCAAAUUAUUCAAUUGGCCCUUGAACUUUCUGUCUAGGUAAAAAUAAGCCCCUCAUCUAUUUUUUGCUGACUUUAAACCCUCGAACUUGUAAAAUUGGACACCCGUGGUCCUUUUAGCCAGUUUCUCCGAUUUUGCAACCGGAAGGCCAAUUCACAUGAAUGCCAUUGUGCUUCUUCAAAGGGCAUUUUUGUCCGCAUCUUCUAAGCAAAAAGGGAACAACUCCUUCUUCUUCCCUCUAUUUCUGCAAAACCCUCGUUGCCGCCGCUUUCUCUUUUCUCAUUCUCUGCAGGAGAGUAAUACCACCGCUCUUAGGAAUCUCCCCACUAGUUGUGUUCUUCAUCAGAACCAGUAUCCGCAUUGCUACCACUGGUUCCACCAUAACUACGAUCUUCAUCAACCUCCAUGUAGUCAUUCCUGUCCAAUUCAUCAGGAUCACUAUCUCCACUAAAAGAUCUAACACGUUCAUCAAAAGACCUGACCCUAUUUCCCACUGAACCUUCUCUCCUCAAUUCCCCGAGCUCUGGAGUUACUGAUUUCCUCUGUCCCCUUGUGUCAGUAGAUUCAUUAAUAGAUUUCUUCUUUUUCUUCUUCAAUUUAACCAUCUCCUCAUCAUCAGAAAUUUCACCUUCAUCAGCUGAUGAUUCAGCCUCAUUUGCCCAGCUAGAGGAUUUUAUAUUACGUGCUGGCAUAUAGUAAUCAUCAUCUACUGUCACUGCUCCGUCAUUUUUACUCCAGUGAGCUUCGUCUUCCUCUGCCUCAGGAGUUGAAGGAGAUAAACCAAUUAGAGAGUCAGAAGCAACAUUUAUUUGAAAAGUGAGGUCCUCAGUAACCUUUUUCGGUGACAGCCCAGAAUUCUGAACCACUAUAUCUUUACUAGGUGAAAUAUGUUGACGACUAUCAGGAUUGCGAUCAGGUGACAUAGUGCCAGAAGUAGGCGUGGGUAGCUGAGGGGGAAGAGCAGCUGCUGCUGGGGAAGUCCUCGCCUUAACAAUUCGAGUCACUUUUUUGCCAUCUCCAUCUCUAUCCCAUAUGAUGGGUGAAAAUUUUCUCUUUCCAUUUUCUGACUUUUUAAGCUCACCACCAUCCUUCUUAUGCACUUCAGAAUCAAUAGCCCCAUCAGACCCACUUUCACUGGACAAUCCCAGGUUCUCGAUCCACGGGCCUCAUGCAAAAACCAUACCUCUUCGACCCCAGCCCAGCACUACCACCCCAGGUUCGAGAGGUUUUGCAGAAAUGGAAAAAAGAAGGAGAAAUUGUUCCCUUUUUGCUUAAAAGAUGCGGACAAAAAUGGCCUUUGAAAAAGCACACUGGCAUUCGUGUGAAUUGGCCUUCCGGUUGCAAAACCGGAGAAACUGGCUAAAAGGAUCACGGGUGUCCAAUUUUACAAGUUCGAGGGCUUAAAGUCAGCAAAAAAUAGAUGAGGGGCUUAUUUUUACCUAAACAAAGAGUUCAAGGGCCAAUUGGAUAAUUUGCCCUUAUAGAAAAAGAAGAUGAUUCUUAAUAGAAUGAUUCUUUUAAUGUCCUUCUAUUUCCUCUAAAAACAAUCCACCAUCAAACAUUUGAGUGCUUAAUAAGUUUAUUUCGUUAAUGAAAAACACGAUUAACUACAGUAUUAGGUUUCACGUAUCUUAGAGAUCAAUUCGCAGGAUCUUUUGCCCGCUAAAGUUAAACCUUAACCAUUGUUUGGAUCGAGGAAAAGAAAGGAAUAAGAGAGAUUAGGUGUUUUGUGUUUGGAUUGGUUUAGAGGAGAGAAAGAGAAUACCUUUUCCUUCUUUUUCUCCAAACAAUACGUUAGUUUUCCAUUUCUUCUUCUUCCAUACGUAUGUAUAUAUGACCGACCAACACGACAUGGACAGAGAUCACUUUCCUUACUCUUCUUUCCUUUACCGCUGAUUGAGAGAAUAAAAGCUACCUUUGGGCUAGCUCUCGUAUUUUAAUCUGAACUUUUUGUUGUAAUACCUUAUUUACAUCAACUAGCCUCAUGAUGUUAUCACUGGGUCGUAAGGUGCAGCGCCUAACUAUACACAGAUUCAUAUGGUUCGGGUAUCACUUUUUUUUUUUGGGUUGGAAAGACGGGUAUCACAUAUAAUUAGUUUAAGGAGGGAAGUUGACAGGUUUUAAAACGUCUGAAAGUUCAAAAGAUAGACAAAAGGCUAAAGAUUCCUUAGCAGACAAUCACCAUGAUAGGAAGACUGGUAAAGACCUCCAUUUUAUGUAAUUACUACGACUUCAUGAAGAACAGCAGUAAUUGAUGUCUUCUUUCGCAAAUUCUCUUCGUGAUUGCAUUAUAGGCCAUACAGUACCAGGAAAAUGAUUAUUUGUUAUGCUUGUAACGCUGUACUUUCUCAAAACAAACAACUUUCCAUACAAAGGAGCUGUAUGUUCAAGUUCAAAAAAAAAAAAAAAGAACUGUAUGUUCUGCUCAGAAAGUUGGUAGGGUUAAUAAGAGAACUCACUUUUGUUUCUCUAGGAUGUUUGUGAAUAAUUUACUGGGACGUUUUGGCCACUUAGCUACAUUCAGGGAUAUUACUGACUUUUUCACUAAAUUCAAGGACAUUUUGCCCCAUCAUUAAAGUUCCCCUAGCAGCAGAUUGAUUGUAGUAUAUCGCGAAAAAUUGAUAAUACAAGGGCGUAUAACGUUGGAAUUGAUAGUUUCAGGGGCACUUUGCAACUCAAAGAAAGUCUAGAAUGCAUUUUACAAUUGAGCUCAUUAUGUACUCUCCAAGCAGAUAAUUAUUUUAAUGGAAACAGUGAAAUUAGGAAAUGGACCACAGAAUCAAUCAUGUCCUGAAAUAUUCUCAAGAUUGAUCUUUUCAGAAGGUAUCUUCAAAGCUGGAAUAUGUUGAGCCCACCUUAGUCAAAAAGAUAUGGGUCAUCUUCUACUCUUGUUCUACUUGUUGUCACUUGUUACCUUCCCAGCCAAAGUCAAAACCAUGAGCAACUCUCUGUCUGUCUCUGCGUUGCCCAGUCCCACUCCCCCAUGCUUGAAGUUGAAACAGGCUUGUGGCCUUCAGCCUUCAACGGUCGCCCAUUACGUUUUAGUCAACAUUUAACGAGCUAUGCCAUUGCACUAGAAUUUUUGAACGUUGAUCUUCAACCCUCUUGGCUUUGUAUAUUCUUAAUUCAUCUUAAAAAUGUAAACUACUUUUUUUUUUUAAAGAAAAUGAACAAUGAUUCUGCCACAGAAACACCGUGGGUGCACAAAUGUGCUGUAAAGAAGCUGCCCAUUCUCAAUUCCUCAUUAGCAGCUUGCCUUGAAUACCUCCCUUAUCACCUGCCUCAGCCGCUUUUGCGGCACUGCCGAAAGUGAUUUGUACCGUUUGAACCUCAGUUUUAACUUUUUUAUGUAAAACCCCAUUUCCUGUGUGCACUUUCUGAUCAACAUUCAUUGACCGUUCAAUUCCAAGUUCAUCGCUCCUGUCCAAAUACUCUUUUGGAAUUUAUGUCGAUCAACAGUUCAAGACUCAAUCUGUUCAGUAUACUGCAGCUUUUGACCUUAUCUAAACUUAUUCCGUACGCAAGAAAGAAUUUGAGCAGCACCACUCUGUCAAAAAAAAGACCAACUAAUAAUAAUAUUAGUCCUUAGUUUCCACGACUGACUGUCCAACACAUUCUUCUGCUACAUCAGCCAAGAAAAGGACAUGCAUGCACAAGUAUGGAGUAUUAUUAUGCCUUUGAUUCUCAUAGGGCAGUCAUGCAUACUUGGUGCUACCAGUAGCUGGUAGUAGUAACUUGGUAAUUAUUACUUGAUCAAUCUGGUGCAGACGUGAUUCAUUAACAUUAUAAAGAUUCUAGUACUAGUGUCUGCUCGAUGUGGGCCCCCAGAAAUUGGAUGACAACGAAUGUGCCCGCCAACGUGACAUGGUUAAGUUAUACAGGGCGUAUUCUAAUUCUAAUUCUAACUUCUAAUUUCUACAGUGAGAAAGAAAGAGAAAAAGAGAUAGAAUGGAGGGAUCGUCUGAGACUCUGAGGUCCAGGAUUGGCGUGACUCGAAGGGAAUGGCGGUCUUGACCAUCCAGGUAUCUUUUUCUUUUUAUCCUCAGGUUGGAAAGAAUAAUAUUCUUUCCAACUGAUAUAAAUACCUUGUAACCUUUAAGCUUUCUUGCUGAAAACUGCUGCCUCUCUUCUCCACUUAAGCACUGGUGCAUUGUUAGCCGUGAGAUCAGUUCGGUAUGGACAGCAGACACGAGUCUUCUGAGACUCUGAGGUAAAAUCUCUACCGUGCUAUUGAAUACUUUUUUAUUUAUUGUUUCCUCCUGAUCAAGAUGAAAAGGUUCAUGUUGUGCAUGAAAAAGAGAGAGGCAAUAAUUUAGCGUUUCAUGAUGAUGCUCUCAGGAACAAAUGCGCUGCAUGCUAUAGGCAGUUCAACAAAAUGGAACACCUUGUGGAACACAUGAGGACAUCCUAUCAUUCGGUUCAUGAACCCAUGUGCGGAAUUUGCAGGAAACAUUGUCGAUCAUUUGAAUCUCUGAGAGAACAUCUUAUAGGUUAAUUAAAUCAUUUCUGUCCUAGCCAACACAGUAAUUAUUCAACCAUUUUCGGCUCUCUGCCUUUUCCAUUUGAUCUGAUGUGGUUGGUUCUGACACAUGCGGGAUUGAAUUGCAAAACCAGGGCCGCUCCCGAAAGCAGAAUGUGAGAGGAUUUUCAAGGACCGGGGAUGUGACCUUUGCUUAACAGUCCUGAGCAGUCGCAGUGCGCUCUGGAAUCACCGGGAAGCAUGCCAAUUCUCACGUUCGAACAAUGUAUGGAACGACAAUUAAACUCAGGUGUAUAUUCGCAUUUCCAUUCCACGACAAAUAGUAAAACUUUUUUGUUUUUUGUACGUAGGGGGUUCUGUGUCGUCUGGCAAAUUUGGGCAUACAAGAUGAAUUAAGGCUGGACAACAGUAGAGCGAAGGUGGUCGCCCUGGCUUGCAAAAUGGUUGGAGGCGGUAGCGAUGGUUCUUUAGAUCUGUGUGCAAGAAUUUGCCUCAUCGAUGAGCACGAAAGGAUAAUCUUUCAUGCAUAUGUCAAGCCACAGCUUCCCGUCACAAACUACAGGUAAUGGAGCAACAAAAAGAUCGUCAAAAUUCACAUACUACAUAGGCACAUAGAAAGUGAAUUUGCACUCUAGCUAGAGACGGACUUUGAAAAAUUCUUCUGCAGGUAUGAAACAACGGGAUUGCGACCAGAAUUUCUAAGGGAAGCGAUGCCGUUGAAACAAGUGCAGAGAAGGAUUCAGGACUAUUUAUGCAACGGGGAACCAAUAUGGCACAUCCGUUCUAGAGGAGGAAGAGCUCGCGUCCUUGUGGGACAUGGUUUGGAUCACGAUCUUAAGUGUUUGGAAAUGGAGUAUCCACCGAUAAUGAUCAGGCAAGUUAGCUAGUUACGGGGCCGCCCACCAAUUAUAUAUAUAUACUUUGCUGCAGGAACACCAAUUUUGACGCCUAUGAAACUCCUUUUUUUUUCUGAAAAAAAAUUUUUUUGGCAGGGACACGGCCAAAUAUCCACCACUUAUGAAAACCAGCAAGCUUAGCAACUCGCUCAAGUAUUUGACAAAAGCAUACCUUGGGUAAGUAGCUUAAUUAAAGUCUGGAUGUUAGUAGUACAUUACAUCAAGAAUAACAACAUCAUGAUUUUUUUUUAUUUUUUUUUUGGGGACUCUGCUAAGGAAAAUGUUUUUUUCUUUUUGGUGGUGGUGGUGGGCAGCUAUGACAUUCAAACGGGCCAGCAAGAUCCGUAUGAAGACUGCGUUGCUACACUGAGGCUCUACAUGAGAAUGAGAUCACAGAAUCACGAUACGGAGGACUGCCCUCUUGCUACCGACCCCCAGAACCGCAACAAUUUUGCGUCAUGGCGACAGAACGAGCUCGAGAGGAUGACUCCUGAAAAAUUGCUAGAGAUCUCAAGGUCUGACUAUUAUUGCUGGUGCUUGGACUCCAGAACCAGCCACACCAAUUCUUGAAGCAUUAUGUAUAGAAGAAGUGAAGAUUGUUAUUUGCUUCAUGCCGCAAAAUUUGAUCUACACACCAAUAACUACAACUUAGCAUUUAAUCCGUCAUUAUAUUCUCUGUUAUAGUAUCGGAUGAUGCAGCAUCCAUCAUGUAACAUGCUGCUUGAUCCAAUUUAUCAAUAUAAUAAAUUUUUACUGCCACCUCAUUCUUGUUUUGUUUUCCUUCCUUAGACUUAGAGUGCAGCAACACGAUGACGUAACUUAUACUACUAUUGUUCGUCUGACGGAUUCUACUAACUUUGGAAAAGUCAACCGGACUCUACUCCCCACUCAUUCCGUUAAAGGGGAGUUUCUUUUUUCUUUUUUUUUUUUGGGGUUGGGGGGGGGGGGGAAUGGAAAACAAACAAAAAAAAAAAGAAGCAAAAGGGAAAAAAAAAAGUUUGCGAGCCGCAUAUGUGAUGGAUAAUACUUGAAAUGGAGGAAUGCCAUUUCAGGUAGUCAAAGUUAAGAGACACGUUGAAAAGGAAAUGUUUUGGCGUUUUUGCUACAGAAUAUAAAAAGAAAUAGGACUACAAACUUGCAAUUGCACGUACUUUCUUUUUUUUUUUUUCCGACUGGUGGUAUCUUGGUCAAUUGAUCAGACUAAUCCCCUGGAAGAGCCGCCCCAAAGAUUUCAGCGUGAUACGGGAAGAGAGUCGAACACGGGACCUUGCUCCUGAGAGGAGGCUACUGAACCGGUCGCAAUUACACGUACUUAACAGAACUACUUACUAGCUAGCAAUUACUUUCUAUAUUAUUAUUAGUGCACAAGCAGAAACCGCCGAUUAUCUUUUUUAAAAAAAUUUAUUCCGGUACGUGUCUCUUACCAAACCACUACUAGUGGCAGCAUAUUAAAAGAGAAAAGAAAGAAAGGCAAUCUAGAAUCCUUCUUACUAUUUAAUAGGUGUAGUGAAAAAGGUUAUGAUGCGUCCACUCCGGGGACUGGAGAGGGCAAUGAUUCGUGAGAUCAGGGCAUUGGAUAUAUACGCCUUGCCGGUAGCUCUGCCACUUUGAAUAUGGGAAAAUGCUUCAAUGGGAAAUGGGCCUUUAGGGUCAAUCACCGGCUUCAGCUUCUCCUCCUCUAUGAAAGGUUUGAGUUUCUUUAAGACGGAGACGGUUGAAGUGACCACAAACACGUUAUGACUAGCAGGGGGAAGGGAACCACUGGCCCCGCCGGCCAGAUUGUCACCGCCCUUCCCUUCCGCCUUCUUUUACUGCCUCGAUACCCUGCCACUCUCACCUGCUCAUUUGAUUUACUAGCACCAGAAACUUUUACGUGCUGCAGUAAACAGAGAGCAAGAGACUGAUUUGAUUGCUUAGGAUUCAUUCUUACCAACGGUAUCAAAUUUCUCUGGCAAAUCUUCAUACUUGUUCUUCCUGUAGUCGAUUGCCAAAAUCAGCACCUACAAGUUGCUGCCGCUCUGCAUGCACCAAACACAUUCUUUGCCACCUGCUCGGAUCAAGAAACCGUUUCAGUCAAUGCAUGAAUUAUCGUCGUGUUCUGAUCAAAGGUCAAUCUUCAGAACUACUUUUAAUUGAUCUAAUAACUCAAAAGCCAAACGUAAAAUUGCUAUGAAGGUUCAGCCAAAUAUGAAAUUUUCAUUGAUACAUAAAGUAAAAAAAAAAAAAAAAUUUUGGUUGUCUCUGCCAAGGAUGACUUAGUACAGUACUGCUACCACUUCUUGUUGAUUGAUUCUCAAUAAUUAUCAUUUAUCACGAAUUCUUUGGAACUGACCAAUUAGAGCUGAUUUUCACUAGGUGUUUUAAAGUACUGGAAGUUCAGCACCACCUAAAACAAGAAUUGAUUUACCAGCUGAAAAGCAGCGCUUUCAAGGCCCUCGCACGCUGUUUCAACGGCUAGAGGAAGACUAGCUGCCUCGGCGAAACCCAAACCUUCUCAUCCACUGCAGUGUACUCCGCCAGUGACCCACAAUCCUUUGGGUGGUGGGCAUGCUCGUGAAUUUCUCCAUAUACUUCAUCCCCGACCUUGAAUUCCUUCACUUCGAUCCCAACUCUAACUACCACUUCUUUUCAAAAAAAAAAAAAAAACUCUAACUACCCCCGCCACAUCAUCAUAUCCCGCAACAGUCUACCUGAUAAAAAAAAACAGUAAAUCCACACAAGGACUAUCUAGUGACUAAAACAAAAAGCUAAAAAAAAAAAAAAAGGAGGUUUACCGGAGAGGAGAAUCAGUGGCCUCGAAUGAUCCAGCCAUGCGUUUGAAGUCGACUGGAUUCAGGGACGCAGCAACUACUUUGAUCAAAACCUGGUCAUCAUUUACGUCAGGAACAUCAACCGAGGUUGGCCAUAGACCCAGGCCUUCAUUUUAGAGGGGAUGUUAACUGGAGUACCGGUUGCCAUGGCCGAAUAAUUUGGCUGAGAUCUACUUGCUACUAUUUCUUUCUUUCUUUCUUUCUAUGUAUGUUAUUUGGGGGAUGGCAAAUGCCUCAAACUAUGCAUGAGUCUUGCAGUUGCAGCUUUCAAUUUGUAGUUGUCGACUGACUUUGUCAAACCGGGAAUUUGUUUUUCUUCCUUUUCCCCUUUGGGGGACAGAUUGUGUGCUUCGCGCUCCCCGUAAAACGAAGAGCAAAUUGUGCGAAAUGUCAAUAAACUAUUGCGAGAUGAAGGUUUUAGUCACUAAAUAUUUUUAUUAGCUAAAAAUAUCAUUGAAUUAAUAAAUUUGUAUCGUUUUAAUCACUCCGUAUAUUUAUACUAUCAUAAGAGAUGGAAAAUAACUUUUUGAGGAGCAAUUUCAUUUGUACAGUCUUUUCCUUAAAUCUCUUCAACAUAAAUUGCUCUCAAAUGUGUUAAACAACUCUCAAGUUCAAUUAGAAAGUACAAACCCUUACCCUCUAAUAGAUUUGUCCUCAAAUAUGGAGUAGGAGGAGCAAUACAAGCAGCUGCAAUUUGCUGGGAAUGUGUUUAAGCUUCAUGAGAGAAAAACGCAAGGAAACAACCGCGAUCUGUUCUUGUGGUACUAAAACCAAUUUGAAGAUUUCAUGGAUUGAUAGGAACCCGGUAAGGAGAUAUGUUGAAUGUGCUAAAGGCGAGGUAAGUGUGUGAAGAUGUAAGAAAUUCGUUAAAUUAAGUUUAUGUUUAAUUUUUGGACAUUUAUCGGCUAAAAAGAAUUUGGACAAUUUUUUUAUAGAUUGAUGGUUGUGGUUAUUGGAAUUGGUAUGAUGAUGAAAUGUGUGAGCGUUCCAAACAAGUCAUACCUGGUCUUUUAAGGAGAGUAAAUAGGUUGGAAAUUGAGAAUGAAACUUUGCGACAGCAAGUUCUCAAGUUGCAAAACAAAGUUGAGAAAAUGGAGGUUCAAGUAAAAAAUCUGAAUGAGAAACUUGGAAGAAAGAAUAGGAAAAAAAUGGUCAUUGUUGUUUUUGUUAGAACCUGGACAAUUGUUAAUGCAUCAAUGUGGAUUUGGGGGCCUAGCAAGGACACAAGUUUGGAAGGCUGCAAAUUGAUGGCUACUGCUAAUCUUCAUCUUUGGUCGAUUUUUUAUUCUUUUCAUUGAUUACUUUGAUUUUGCUAGAUUAAUACUGCAACUUUUCUCAUCCAUUGUUUAUUUUGUCAAAAAUUUUACCAACAUUCAAAACUCCACUAUUGUCUCUUCAUUUAUCAGACGAAAUUUUUUCCACAAAAGUUGUGUAGAUAAAAUUGUUCCUUAAAAAGUUAUUUUCCGUCUCUCCUAACAGUAUAAACGGACGAAGUGACUAAAAAUACAAAUUUACUAAUUCAAUAACAUUUUUUCUUAAUGAAAAAGUUGAGUGAACAAAAUCGACACCUCGCAAUAAUUAAUAGUUAUAUUUCGCGCGACUUGCUUUAAGACGAACGUGUCUGUGCAAGUUUUUGGCCAUAUAAUAAUAAUAAUAAUUAUAUAUCGAGACAGAGAUUCUUUCGAGAGAGACUCAUUAAUAAUUUAAUAAUCAGUGGAUCGAGUAUCCGUACCCUUAUCAAAUCAGUGCCAGAAUCUUUUUUAGUUUGAUUGGACUGCAAGUUUAUCUAAAUGAUGGUAAUGCAGAGAGUAGUAAUGGUUUGAUGACAGACACUAAUGCAAUGUAAAUUCACAAAAUCACAGUCACCUGUUCUAGUCGGUUCUACUAUAUAUUUUCCCAUCAGCUUCCCAUGAUUGAUCUAAAAAAUUGUUGAAGUACCCAACCCCUGAAUGGAAGAAGAAAAUAUCCCUCUUCCCUGCAAUCAAGACGACUAGCAUCUUCUUUGCUGCAAAAAUUGUAAAAGCAAAAUCAUCCUUUUUUUGCUUCAAAAUUUAACAUCUUGGCUUUCUUUAAGAUUUCCCGGCUAUGGUGAAGAGCAUUUUGGCUUAACUAAUUUUGUCAUUACAAAAUAAAUAUAAAAGGGAAGAAUCACUUUUUUUCAACAAUCGAAAUUACUGGAAAACACACAACAAAGUUAGAUUAACACUCAGAGAUAAUCGAAAUCUUGGUGCAGAACACAAUUUAAGGUGGAGCUCACAAACCAAUACCAUUCAGCCAAUUGAUAAUUGAAAGUGCGGCUGAGGACCUUAAACCCAGGGUAACUACCCCACAAUCUUUCGAAGUGGGAUGGAUAAAAGGGAAGAAUCACUUGAGAGUAACAAUAAUCAACUGCCAUUGGCUAGGCGAUAAGGUAUGUGAACAGAAUCAACUGAGAGAGAGUUUCGAUUUGGGACAGGAACGGAGGUAGCAGAUACCUAACAGAGAUAGAAGCUGAAGUGGGGAAGUUAUCGCAAAAAUAAAAUAAUGGUGACACGAAUCUCUUAGCCCGUGCCUUUCACCUCCCUCAUCUGCUUCCUUCGUUUACGCUGUCAAGGUAUUGAUUGCCUCAUUACACGCCGCAGAAACUUAGUGGGAAAGAGAUUCAGAUCUCGCAGAUCAAUUUUUUUCACUUUAUCAUUGCUUUUUGUGCAAUUUCCCAGCGCCACGCCCCCGGAUCAAUCUUGAGUGGAAAUGGGGAAUGAGCAUCAAACGGUGGCUGGACAAGAAAUUGAGAGUAAAAUGAAUUAAUGCCUGGUUUGUGGCUGUGAAAGAACAAUUGUGCAAGAAGUAACAGAACCACGAAUUAAUGACUCGUUGUGGCUGUAAAAGAACAAUUAACAACUUGUUUUUGAGAUGUUGAGCAUCUCCCAUUAAUUGCCAAUUGAUUUUGAAAUAGAAAUUCAACUUCUUUAUCUGGUGUCAGAAUUGGGUCUUGAAUUUGCUUGUUUUUCCGCUUGUGUUUCACCCAAUGCCCUUCUACUAGAAUUGGGCCUUGAAUUUGCCUUGUUUAGAGUUUCACCCAGUGCCCACUCGCCUGAGGGCUUAAGCUCAUUUGUCAAAUAGAAUGGAAGCCCAACUUCUGUAUCAAUAUGCUCUAGUGAAUGAUUAUUUACUUAACACAUACUACUAGAAUGUGUGGCCAUUUGCAAUUUAUAAUUACGCUUGAAUGCUCUUUCACAAUUGCGAAAGCAUUCAUUUACUUGAUGUAAUGCGGUUUUUUUUUUUUGUUGCGACAUAGUUUUAUUUCGUUUAAUCUCUCUUAGUAUUUCGUACCACACAAUUCAAUUUUUAUUUCACACAUUAAAUUUUUUAAUUCUUUACCUUAGAGGGCUGUCUUUUGUGAAGGAAGGGAAGAAAGACUGAGGCAUAAGAGAGUAAUUUUGAGAUGACAGAGUAUGUGCUAUUUAUUGAUGAUUCGGAGAGAUGAAGGCUUGAUUUUGCAAGAAGGGGAUCUUCAUCGUUGAUUUUUUUAACUUCAGGGAAAUUGGAGUAGUGUUUUGCCGCUGAGGUGGCGGAGAUGGCGGGUUCAAGGAGGAAGAAGGAUCGAGGACUGAGAAAUUGGAAACGGAAGGCGAACUCGGUCGACAUUGCUUGCUCCACAUCCACAACCCUCUCCCGUGACUGUGAGUCGGUGCGAGUGUCCGAAGCUCAGCCCGCAACUCAAGUAGCUGAGUUACAAACUGCAAUUUCAACACGGCUGGUUCCUUCUGAACCAACAAUAUUAACUGUCCACAAAAUUUCUUCAACAACUAAAAUAACUGCAUUUAUCAACACAAAAAUAUAUUUCACAAGGCAGCAAUAGCCAAAAAAAAAAUUUGGUAUACAUCUUCGAAAAAGCACUGUAUUAUCAGAGUUGUAUUAAAGUCGUCCUAUUCGUUAUAAAAAAAAAAAAAAACCAUUUGUAAGGAAGAAAAAUCCACCUAGAUAUACACAAUUCAGGCAUCCUUUAUAGCAAGAGUUUAGUCCGGUUGUAUAUACUAUAAAAGAACAUCACAUAUAUCCAGAAAAACUAAAUACUACAUCUGUCUGGACGUGCAAAGGCCAUAGCCAGAUAUGAGAGCAGUGGAAGCUAGGGCCGCAAAUGCAAGGAAGGACAUUGACACAGCCGUGCUUGCCAUAUCUGGGAAUUUGUCCUUGCCCCAAUUUGAUUCCCAGUCCUCAACUCGAGUAGCAGCAGAAGAUGAUGCUGAUAUUAGAAGAUACGAUAUCAUCUGAAAAUUUCAAACCAUUUCUAUCGCCACUAAGUUUUGGCCCAUAAUAAGAUGGAAGAUCAGCUUGUUUCAUUUAAUCCAACAAAAUGGAAAAGAAAGAAACGCCUAGUAAAACAUAUCAUUAUUCUUUCUAGAUUAAAGCUUUGAUUAGAAGCUUCCGAAUUGAAGGCAGGUCCGGCAGAUCAGACUGAUGUAAUUGUCUUGGAGUCUGGUAAAUAACAGAAGGCUGAAUAAAUAAAACUUGAAAAGUUUGUACAAGUACUCUUUACAGAGCAGCCUCUUUUGUCCUCCUGUAUACAAGAUCCUAGAAACAAUCUGCCCGAUGCAGGUGAAAAUUUGCCCCAAGUUUUAAUUGUUUAAAGUCUGCCGUUCUAAACCAGGCUAAAUCAAACGGUGUUGACAACCAAGAGAAUAUUAUUAGAGCACCAUGAUGAGGAAGUGCAGAAAGCAAGUAGGUUACUUAUAUCAUGCAACGGAAACAUGGAAAAGGUGCAAAUACUAAAGCAUCAUUGGACCCUUGAAACAUUGCAAGAAAAAGAUCAGGUUCUUCCUUCUUCUUUUGCCUUCUGCUUAUUGCUGAUCUCUCUCUUUUGAAAGCUUAUAAAACUAGUCCUGUCACUAGUUUCCAUCAUUUUAGAAUUUAAAAAUGCAGUAUCCCGUGUUAGAUAAUUUCACGAAGCAGAGAAUCUACCAGCAAAAGCGAUAGUUUUAGAACUAGAAGCAUGGACCCUCGGCAAAAAGUAGCAACUUCCAAUUCCAGCCACUGUUAAUGCUGUGGGGGAAUAUCAGCCAAGUGUAUUAUGACCCACAUAAAAGCGAUAGGAAAAAUACAAGGUUACUAGUACUAAAACUCCAUUUAAGGUCGGACUAAGGCCUACGAAAGACCCUUGAACGUUGCAACACGGCAACAAUUAUUUCUUCCACCCACCUCAAAACCACACGAAUGACCCAAUCCAAGGUGUCCCCUUUUCUUCUACUCAAUCGAUUACCAUUAUCAUAAUUUGGACAUUAAAUGAAGAGAACACCAUCACCACUACCGUGUGGUCCCUGAUUAACAUUCCUUCAAAUGCCCCCAAUUUACCUUGGCAAAAUAACCAGUGCCUAGUAAAACAAGUAAUCAGACUCCCUAGAUACUCAAAAAAAAAACUCCUAUAAAGCAUGCAACAAAAACAUUAACAACGAAUUCUUGGAAGUAGUAAGAAAGAAACAAGAGAAAGUUCAAUAACUAAAUGAUCAGCCAUCGGGAAUAAUGAAAAUGAUAUGGACUUGCCUGGUCAAGAGCAAAAUCAAUAGGGUGUCGAAAACGGUGCAGAAGCCUUGACUUGGAAGCGCAUAACUGGUAGCCCAGAUCCACGGCCUGUGCUCCGGAGUACAGAAAUGCGAUCACAUUCACUGUCAUACAGUACCUGACAUAUAUUGGUUGCAAAAAAUUUUCAAUGCUUCUUACUACUUUAUGGUACAAAGUUUCAGCAGACUAACAGAGUCACAUACGAUACUAGACCAUACCAGCUAUAUUAACUAGUAAGUAAUGAUAUAAUUUAACAAAAGAGAGAGUACUACUCAUUCUAGUUGAGAGACCUGAAUUCCUUGUAACGAUCGAAUGAAUCAAGUGCCCAACCUUCAUGUCUAUCGCAGCCAUGACGGAAAAGGAAACCAAUGAGAACAAAAACCCAAAAGCCCUAAACCCCAACGCCGCCUUCUUCAUCAAUUGCUCUGUCUUUGCCCUCCUCGGAAUCCAAAGAGACGGUCGAAACCUGCGUCCGCUACUUGCUUUAACCUGCUCAUGACCGUCCUCCACCCUUCCUCCUUGCCCACCUGAAUCUGCCAUCUUGGACACUGAGAAGGGCUCGCCUACGACGUAGCGAUUGAUAGCCGGCGCUGGCAGCCGAGGCUUAGGAGGCAAUUUUCCAGGUGGGCUGUGCGGCGGGGAGGUUUGGUCCUCUCUCGGGUUGGAAUUGGGGAGGACCCAUGAGUAAGAGAUGUGUGAUCCGAGGAAAUUGAUGAUCCCUCGGGUGAGUAAUCCGGAGACCUUGUCGGCAGCGAGGGUGGCUUAAACUCUUCGCUAUCACGAUUGGAGGAAUCCACCACAUGUAAAUCUUCUUUGUCGGAGCUGAUGCUCGACUUUCUCGAGUUGUCCAUAGUUUUGUUCUACUACUAGUGUUCGAGUGAGUUCAGGAUUUGGAGUGAAUCUGGAAUUAUUAGCUUUUGGUAGCGCGGAAUUGGAAUGCUAGAUGAUUAAUUCGAAGGCGGUAAGGAAUGAAGAGUGAAGAGUAAGACCUUUGAAUAAUGGAAAAAACACGCAGCACCGCCCUCCUGAGUCCUGACCCCACCCGGAAGCCCAAGGCCGAAGACAACGACGGUUUUGGCACUCAUGCUUUCGAAGACCAAUUGCAAAUACCUGAUCCGUCAGGUUCCGACCGCCCCUGUAUUUACCUAAUUUAAAUUUGUAAUUAAAGAUUUCGAUCCCCACGGGUGUCUGACUGUGCGGGCGUAUGUGUGUGAGAGACUAUGACUGGACCGACUGCUCUACACAAAUUGUUAUAUAUAGUAUUUAAUUUGGAAUAGAGAACCACCAGAUUCGAUGCUUCAAGUAUUACUUAGAAGCACACGCUGGGUUGGUCUGCUGGUUGAAGCAGCCUCCUUAGGUGAGUUUCACCUGGAUUCGAUCCCGGGCAGCAAUCCAGUUGUUAUCUUCUUCAGCAUCGGUCGGGCCCGCUCUGCUGUAGCGCUGUGGGAUUAGUCGGGUGUAGACCCGGAUACCCACAGUGAUGACAAAAAAAAAAAAAAAAGUAUUACUUAGAAGAAACCACUGAGGCACCAUUGGCCACAAAAUAUGGCGAGCCAUUUCAAGUGGCUUCCAGACAAGUGCACUCACCUGAGUCGGUAGGUGGUUCAGUCCCUUCUGUUUUUUUUGACAUCUCUUCUGUUUUUUCUUGACCUUUUUAAAUCCUUCCCUCCCGUAGGCUGUAGUAUAAAAUAAUUGUAUGCCUAUCGUUUCAACAAAAAAACAAAAUUAUUUAGAAGAAGAGUCUCUUGAACCUGAAGGAAAAAAUUACAGUAAAAGACGCUUCUACCUCGCCUCCAAACGAAGAUGUAAAAUUGGACCGGAAAGCUAAAUGGGUCAAGACUUUAGUUUUUUUGUGCGAUUUUACUGUUUUGCUUUACGAAAAACCUGAAAUUUAAAUUUGUAAUCAAAUUAUGUGUAUUGCUCGCGCAUUUUUACAUAAAUUGAUAAUGCAUAUGACAUUUACCUUUUAAAAUAUAAUAUAGAAAACUAUGAGGAAAUAGUUCCUUAAAGGACCAUAUAUAAUUUUUCAUUAUUAUUACUCUUCACAUGAGUGUUCAGGAACCUUUUUUACAUACCCACUACUAGAGGUGUUAAAAUGGGUGACUUGAAAGGGUUUGGAUUGAUUAAAAUGGGUAAUGGGCAUAACUGAAUCAAGUCAUUUAUACCCAUUUGAUUAGAUGGAUCUAAAUGGGUAAGUUAAAAAAUGAAUUGGAUAACCCAAUUACCCAUUUAUAACCCAUUUAUUUUAACUUUUUAUAAACUCAUUUAAAUUUAUUUUACAAACUAAAUUAUUUAUACCAGCUUUGCACCCAUCAUUAGUUUUAAAUAUUUACUUAUAAUACUCAAUAAGCCUAAUUUCUAAUUUUUUUUACGUCCGUACUCUAUGUCGCAAAAUUACGUACUAUUUGAUAAUUGAACAAUAAGAAUAUAAAAAUUUGAAUUAAGUACUAUAAAAAUUAACAUAAAAACUUAAUCCAAAAUUUUGAACCCUUACAUUUUUUUCAUGUGUAAAUUUAAAAUUUCAUUUUGAAAAGGUAGGAAAAGAGGUUAAAACUUGUCAUAAAUUGAUAAUGCUGAAAAAUAAGCAAGUUAACAAACUAAGAGAAAAUAAAAUGAUAAAAUAAAAUUAACAAAUAAUAAUAAUAAUGAAAUAAAAGUAGUUAACAUCGUGAUAAAAUGAAAAAUUUGAAAAAAAAAAGGGUUGGGAAAGAAAGGAGGUUUUGGGGGAAGACAAUUCUAAAUAAGUUAAUUGGGUUUAAUGGGUGGGUAUUAUUGAGUAAUCAAUUUUAUACCCAUAUACAAAAAUUUAAGAUAUAAAUAGGUAUUAUUGAGUAACUCAUUUAUACCCAUAUAUAAAAAUUUAAAAUAUUCAUACCCAUUUAUUCAUAGGCGAAUAUGGAUAAAUUUAAUUAAAUGAGUUUCUUUGCCGUUACCUACUACCAACAUACCGUGAAGUAGCUAUAAUUGCAAAACUGCCCACAAAAUUGAUACGCUAGCUGCAAUUAGUUCAAUGAUUUACUUUUGGCUGUUUUUAGAUUAUAGACUUACAUUGAAAGUUUUAAGGAAGAAUCUGAAUCUUCUCAAAUCCUCUUACGUUGCAUGAAUGACUUAGAAGGUAUUUAUUUGGAGUUUGUAAAUCACCAAUCAUUAUAAAUUCAAAUAACUCCCUAAUAAUCCAAAUAACUUAGAGGAAUCUGAGAGAAUUUUAUAUCCUUUAUCAAAUCCCUCAGUCCAAAUAAGUCUUUCAAUUUAUUACGUGGCUUAAUUAGUACUAAAAAGGCAAACCGCUUCCAUCAUCCAUCUUAUACUUGAUUCCUGGGAUUGCUUUCAAGAACAUGGGGCCAAAAAAUUAUCGAAAUCCAGCAAAGAACAUAUUUGCACCUCUCUUUUUAACUUUGAAGGAAAAGAAAAUUCAACUUUAAACACGAGUUCAAGCACGUAUUUAUUCCCAUGAUUCUCACAGGAAGGAAUAGAUAAACAAAUAAAACAAAAGAAAAAUAAUCCAAGCCUGCACUAUUUCUUUACUCUUAUUAUCAUUAAUGUUUGGGAUGGAUCAGCACCAGAGCCAGAAUUAUUUCUCACUGGGGCCAAAAGUAAAUUUUUCCUUCUUUUCUAGACACAUCUUACACACUAAUAACAUUCACACAGCGCAGCCACCAAUGCAUAUUUAGUCGGUACUGCAUGUACUUCUCACAAAUCAGUGGAGGCACAAGUGAAGCUUUCAAGAACCAUAACUAAAAUAUACAUUUUCUUUUGAGUACCAGGCGCAAAAUGUACCUCUGCCUGUGGACGGGGUGAUACAGGAGUUGGCAUGUAAUGCAACAGGCCAGUUGUAAGUUAAGAAACCACAAAUACCAAAUGGUUUCUGAUACAAAGGUGGCACCAAUAUGGUCGAAACAAGUACAGCUCUUUAAGCUAGUUCAGUAACUAAUGGCAUCACAUUCCAAAUAUCAAAUAUGAAAUCACCCACUUUAUAUAAAGAUUACACAAACUAAGUGAUAUCCUUAGCUACUAAAUCGUCCUGACCGGACACCGACAAAAUUGCCUAAAUUUACAAAGUUUCAACGGUCAAUUUUGGACCCAAACCUACCCGACACCAGAGAGGUAGUAUAAAU
This 39952-nucleotide long non-coding RNA is filed under the name Coffea arabica (coffee). RNAcentral's name for it is "long non-coding RNA (CARA_LNC008297)". Lineage: Eukaryota; Viridiplantae; Streptophyta; Magnoliopsida; Gentianales; Rubiaceae. The record is from RNAcentral.